GGGCCUGUAGCUCAGUUGGUUAGAGCGUAUGCAUGGCAUGCAUAAGGUCGCGGGUUCGAAUCCCGCCAGGUCCACCA
RNAcentral lists this transfer RNA (77 nucleotides) under Candidatus Berkelbacteria bacterium. Its description in RNAcentral is "tRNA-Ala". It matches the Rfam family "tRNA". From Rfam's summary of the family: Transfer RNA (tRNA) molecules are approximately 80 nucleotides in length. Lineage: Bacteria; Candidatus Berkelbacteria. The record is from RNAcentral.